UUUCAGAACCCUGUACACUGUUUCAGAGGACGGCGCGCGAACUGCCCGGUACUUGCCACCAGCUUGUCAGUGUGAGCGCCGGAAGGGAGGUCUCUGGAGCGGCUUCGGAUUUCGAGCCAGUCGCAGUCUUGGUCUGAUCCCCAGAGCGUGGCCAGUCCAGCGACCGCACCAGCAACUCGUAGGUGACAUUUUUACUGAGCUCUGGCGGCACUACAUGAACGGACGACACGCCAUCCCGAGAUAUUCGUCGUCAGUUCACCAGCUUACUCCCCAAUGCGUGCCCAGGCGCCAGAGCUGCGGGAAAGCCUCCAGCGCCCUACAGGUGGCUGCAAGGGGAGUGCUGAAUCUGUUCGCUUGAGUGUUGUGAUUCCACCAAGUCUACUCCAACUCGUCACAUCAAUAACCCUGACAACUUUGCCAUAAGGGUUCUUCAAAGACUAUCGAACCAUUCUGGAGCUGGAUCGUGUAGUCUGGAUCAUGUUCAAAAAGAGAUGGCAACACUUCGGGACUGCUUCAGGCUUCUUCGCCUCCAACAGCUUUGCUUGGACUGCUUUCACAGUGACAUUUUCCCCGCAUAAUGUGUUUCCGUGAAGUCCAUAUCUAAAUAUUCAAACAAACCAUGUUCCUUUGUUUGAAUGCAAGUGCUAGUGGCUUUUGAUUACAGUGAUCACAACUAUUUACUUGAGAUAUAACAGGGCAAAGUAUAAAAUUUAUUGGUUUAUAUCAGUGUAUCGAGGCGUAUCAUAUUGUUUUGAUGUGGCCAGAGAUAGUCGUAAAGAUGGUUUCUCUCCAUUGGCUGGGUGAGUGCCCAUGUCACAUUGUCAAAUUUUUUGUCUCUCUGUCUUAUCUUGCUGCCCAAGACCUCCUGACUCUGUUGAACUUGGGGCAGAUAAAGAUUUAGUAAUAAGCUCUUUUAUUUUAAUUUUUCAAGGGGAGUUGACAAUUUUUCCUGGUAAAGACACUCAAUUUCAGAUAAAAUUGUUUAUACUGAACAAUGGUUCGUUUAUUUAGCAACUGUAGUCCUUACUUAGUUGGAAGCUUCUUGCUUGGUAUUUUUUAAUCAGAUGACAAGACUAUUCAUGGGAAACUUGAAUUUCAAACUGGUAAUGCUACCAUUUUGGAGAUUUGUUUGUGAAAGUUUGCACUGAGAGUUUGAGCAACAGCAGCAACUUCACAGGAAUAGGCAUUGGUUUAUUUGGUUUAUUUCCCAGGAGGGCUACAUUCUGACUCAGGAUUAUUUUGAAAUGUUUGUAAGAUAGCAUUUUUAGAACAAACUUUGUUAGUUUUGUAUCUGACUUUUGGAUAUAUUUAGUAUUUGAUGUGCAUGUUAAAGUACAGUGACAAUUCAUCUUGCUUCAGUCCUCAUGUAUUACUCCUAUUAUAUUUCUGGCUUCAAGCAAGAAUCAUUGAACUGAACUUAACUAGUGGGGAAGUGAGAUCCAAUUCCUUUAGCAAAAUGACUUAUGUUUCUAUUUUCUCUGUGCCUUUGCUAUGCCUCUGUACGUAAGCACUGUAUGUAUUGCUCCCUGCCUUGUUAAAGUAUAGUUUUUAUUUUG
This 1556-nucleotide long non-coding RNA is filed under the name Thrips palmi. RNAcentral describes it as "uncharacterized LOC117642439". Lineage: Eukaryota; Metazoa; Arthropoda; Insecta; Thysanoptera; Thripidae. The record is from RNAcentral.